AUUAUUAAUUAUUAUUGCGGCUAGCGUUUCUGGAAUUCCUUCUUCGUCAUCCUUCUCUGGCAUUCUAGCUAGUCCCCCACCUUGACCUUUCGUCCACCUGCAUUAACUCCUCCUUGCUCUCUGGUUUCAGCUCACUUUCUUCCUUCAGCUCAUCAUUUGGCGCCAUUGAUUGGAUUUCCUUUUCCCUCCAUCGAUCCAGUUGGACUGUGUUUUUCCUGACGCAUUUACUCCCUGGAUCUGACGCCCUCCCGCAAGUUAUCUUGCUAGAUACGCGAACGCUGAUACUCUAUUUCGUGAGUUCUCCCCCCUGAAUCUGAUUAUGUGGAACUUCUCCUCUUGAUGAUGCAACAACGUACGUCUGAUGCAAAAUUGGACUCGCUUGGAUUGAAUCCAAUUUCUUUGGUGGAGUGUUGAUCGCUUUCUGUGUUUUGGAUGCAGUGAUUCAAUAUGGCAUUUGUAUCGGCUUGUAUGUUUGGGAACAACAUCUGAACUGAUUAGGUUUCUAGAUUUGAUGAAGACUGCAAUUUUGGCGGAUGGUGGUGUGGAAACUGUUGAUCAAUGUCUCGUCGUGUUCCUCUGUGAUUGCUUGUUUGUUUUCAUUUUUCUUCAUAUGUAGUAUGAUUUUGAAUGCUGGUGCUUUCCUCUGUGUACGGUUACUUUGACUCGUGGACUUUGCUCUUUGUAUUUUGUCUUCUGCUUGACCG
This 704-nucleotide long non-coding RNA is filed under the name Linum usitatissimum (flax). RNAcentral describes it as "long non-coding RNA (LUSI_LNC002048)". Lineage: Eukaryota; Viridiplantae; Streptophyta; Magnoliopsida; Malpighiales; Linaceae. The record is from RNAcentral.